GAUGAACGCUAGCGGCAGGCUUAAUACAUGCAAGUCAAGGGGUAGCAAUACAACCGGCGCACGGGUGAGUAACGCGUACACAACAUACCAUAUACUGGAGUAUAGCUUUGGGAAACUGAAGGUAAUCCUCCAUAACAUUGCGAGAGGGCAUCUGAUUGCAAUUAAAGUUCCGACGGUAUAUGAUUGGUGUGCGUUUGAUUAGCUAGUUGGUAGGGUAACGGCCUACCAAGGCGACGAUCAAUAGCUGGCGUGAGAGCGCGACCAGCCACACUGGAACUGAGACACGGUCCAGACUCCUACGGGAGGCAGCAGUAGGGAAUAUUGGACAAUGGGCGAAAGCCUGAUCCAGCCAUGCCGCGUGAUAGAUGAAGGCCCUCUGGGUUGUAAAUAUCUUUUAUCUGGGAAGAAACUCCUCUAUUCUUAGAGGCCUGACGGUACCAGAGGAAUAAGCACCGGCUAACUCCGUGCCAGCAGCCGC
This 478-nucleotide ribosomal RNA is filed under the name uncultured bacterium. RNAcentral's name for it is "bacterial SSU rRNA". It matches the Rfam family "Bacterial small subunit ribosomal RNA", at positions 28 to 518 of the family's 1533-position model. The record is from RNAcentral.